GCCUCCGUAGCUCAAUUGGAUAGAGCAUCAGUCUUCGGAACUGAGGGUUGGGGGUUCAAAUCCCUCCGGAGGUA
RNAcentral lists this transfer RNA (74 nucleotides) under Pseudomonadota bacterium. RNAcentral's name for it is "tRNA-Arg". It matches the Rfam family "tRNA". From Rfam's summary of the family: Transfer RNA (tRNA) molecules are approximately 80 nucleotides in length. Their secondary structure includes four short double-helical elements and three loops (D, anti-codon, and T loops). RNAcentral also lists the same sequence under 3 other names. The record is from RNAcentral. Lineage: Bacteria; Pseudomonadati; Pseudomonadota.